Molecule: transfer RNA, 72 nt
Filed under: Bos taurus (domestic cattle)
Lineage: Eukaryota; Metazoa; Chordata; Mammalia; Artiodactyla; Bovidae
Also listed under: 2 other names
Rfam family: tRNA
About the family: Transfer RNA (tRNA) molecules are approximately 80 nucleotides in length. Their secondary structure includes four short double-helical elements and three loops (D, anti-codon, and T loops).
Source: Rfam by way of RNAcentral
UUCCUGAUGACUCAGACAGUAAAGGAUCUGCCUGCAAUGCAGGAGACCUGGGUUUGAUCCCUGGUUUGGGAA